RNAcentral lists this ribosomal RNA (397 nucleotides) under uncultured bacterium. RNAcentral's name for it is "partial 16S ribosomal RNA". It matches the Rfam family "Bacterial small subunit ribosomal RNA", at positions 523 to 918 of the family's 1533-position model. The record is from RNAcentral.
AUACGUAGGGGGCGAGCGUUGUCCGGAAUGAUUGGGCGUAAAGGGCGCGUAGGCGGCCCGGUAAGUCUGGAGUGAAAGUCCUGUUUUUGAGAUGGGAAUUGCUUUGGAUACUGUCAGGCUUGAGUGCAGGAGAGGUAAGUGGAAUUCCCAGUGUAGCGGUGAAAUGCGUAGAGAUUGGGAGGAACACCAGUGGCGAAGGCGACUUACUGGACUGUAACUGACGCUGAGGCGCGAAAGUGUGGGGAGCAAACAGGAUUAGAUACCCUGGUAGUCCACACUGUAAACGAUGAAUGCUAGGUGUAGGGGGUAUCGACCCCUUCUGUGCCGCAGUCAACACAAUAAGCAUUCCGCCUGGGGAGUACGGCCGCAAGGUUGAAACUCAAAUGAAUUGACGGGG